UUGCUCUUCAACGAGGAAUUCCUAGUAAGCGCAUGUCAUCAGCAUGCGUUGAUUACGUCCCUGCCCUUUGUACACACCGCCCGUCGCUACUACCGAUUGAAUGGCUAAGUGAGGCUUUCGGACUGGCCUAGGAAGAGUGGCAACACUCAUCUCGGGCCGGAAAGUUAUCCAAACUUGGUCAUUUAGAGGAAGUAAAAGUCGUAACAAGGUUUCCGUUGGUGAACCAGCGGAAGGAUCAUUACAGAGUUCAUGCCCUUACGGGUAGAUCUCCCACCCUUGAAUAACAUACAUUGUUGCUUUGGCGGACGCUUCGGCAGCCGCCAGAGGACCCUAAACUCUUGUUUACAGUGUCGUCUGAGUACUAUAUAAUAGUUAAAACUUUCAACAACGGAUCUCUUGGUUCUGGCAUCGAUGAAGAACGCAGCGAAAUGCGAUAAGUAAUGUGAAUUGCAGAAUUCAGUGAAUCAUCGAAUCUUUGAACGCACAUUGCGCCCCUUGGUAUUCCGGGGGGCAUGCCUGUUCGAGCGUCAUUAUAACCCCUCAAGCUCAGCUUGGUGUUGGGGCCUGCCAACUGGCAGCCCUUAAAAUCAGUGGCGGCGCCAUCUGGCUCUAAGCGUAGUAAUUUCUCUCGCUAUAGGGUCCCGGUGGAUGCUGGCCAGCAACCCCCAACUUUCUAUGGUUGACCUCGGAUCAGGUAGGGAUACCCGCUGAACUUAAGCAUAUCAAUAAGCGGAGGA
RNAcentral lists this ribosomal RNA (737 nucleotides) under uncultured fungus. Its description in RNAcentral is "eukaryotic LSU rRNA". The stretch from base 1 to 241 matches the Rfam family "Eukaryotic small subunit ribosomal RNA", at positions 1593 to 1831 of the family's 1831-position model. The record is from RNAcentral. Lineage: Eukaryota; Fungi.